This 234-nucleotide ribosomal RNA is filed under the name uncultured bacterium. Its description in RNAcentral is "partial 16S ribosomal RNA". It matches the Rfam family "Bacterial small subunit ribosomal RNA", at positions 96 to 334 of the family's 1533-position model. The record is from RNAcentral.
CGGCGGACGGGUGAGUAAUGCAUAGGAAACUGCCCAGUAGUGGGGGAUAGCCCGGGAAACCCGGAUUAAUACCGCGUACGCCCUUCGGGGGAAAGCAGGGGAUUUUCGGACCUUGCGCUAUUGGAUGUGCCUAUGUCGAAUUAGCUAGUUGGUGGGGUAAAGGCCUACCAAGGCGACGAUCCGUAGCUGGUCUGAGAGGAUGAUCAGCUACAUCGGGACUGAGACACGGCCCGA